UACGUAGGGUGCAAGCGUUGUCCGGAAUUAUUGGGCGUAAAGAGCUCGUAGGCGGUCUGUCGCGUCUGCUGUGAAAACCUAGGGCUUAACCCUGGGCCUGCAGUGGGUACGGGCAGACUAGAGUGCGGUAGGGGAGACUGGAAUUCCUGGUGUAGCGGUGAAAUGCGCAGAUAUCAGGAGGAACACCGGUGGCGAAGGCGGGUCUCUGGGCCGUAACUGACGCUGAGACGCGAAAGCGUGGGGAGCAAACAGG
Molecule: ribosomal RNA, 253 nt
Filed under: uncultured bacterium
Lineage: Bacteria
Description: partial 16S ribosomal RNA
Rfam family: Bacterial small subunit ribosomal RNA
Source: RNAcentral